CUUGUGAAAAUGUUGUCCUGUUCCUUUAUCGGUGUGUAACAGUAUGUGUAUGAGAGCGAUGUAAUGUCCAUGUGUGCAUGCUGAAAGAGACUGUGCUGGUCUGACCCCCCUCCUCCUUUCAGGGUGGAGCCUGCUGGAGUCCAAUGGUUGAAACCAGGUUUGAGGAAGUAUUCCUGUCAACUCACAGUCGACACAAACACAGUACACAGAUGGCUCCAACUGUCUGACAACGACAUGAAGGUGACACGCGUGUGGGAGACUUUUUCAUAUUCUGAUCAUCCAGACAGAUUUGAUUGGCAUCCACAGCUGCUGUGUAGAAAUGGUCUGACUGGUCGCUGUUACUGGGAGGUCAAGUGGAAAGGAAAA
Oreochromis niloticus (Nile tilapia) is the source of this 366-nucleotide long non-coding RNA. RefSeq lists it as uncharacterized. The transcript is spliced from 2 exons. Lineage: Eukaryota; Metazoa; Chordata; Actinopteri; Cichliformes; Cichlidae. The record is from RefSeq and is a predicted model, not a curated record.